UGGGGAAUUGUUCGCAAUGGGCGCAAGCCUGACGACGCAACGCCGCGUGGAGGAUGAAGGUCUUCGGAUUGUAAACUCCUGUUGCCCGGGACGAAACGCCUCGACCUAACACCUCGAGGUUUGACGGUACCGGGUGAGGACGCCCCGGCUAACUCUGUGCCAGCAGCCGCGGUAAUACAGAGGGUGCAAACGUUGCUCGGAAUUACUGGGCGUAAAGCGCGUGUAGGCGGGCUUGUAAGUUGGACGUGAAAGCCCUGGGCUCAACCCAGGAAUUGCAUCCAAAACUACAAGUCUAGAGUGAUGGAGAGGGUAGCAGAAUUCCUGGUGUAGAGGUGAAAUUCGUAGAUAUCAGGAGGAACACCGGUGGCGAAGGCGGCUACCUGGACAUCAACUGACGCUGAGACGCGAAAGCGUGGGGAGCAAA
RNAcentral lists this ribosomal RNA (424 nucleotides) under uncultured bacterium. RNAcentral's name for it is "bacterial SSU rRNA". It matches the Rfam family "Bacterial small subunit ribosomal RNA", at positions 355 to 772 of the family's 1533-position model. The record is from RNAcentral.